UGGGGAGCGGUCAAACCCAACAGACUGUAAAUCUGUCGCGAAAGCUUCGAAGGUUCGAAUCCUUCC
Molecule: transfer RNA, 66 nt
Filed under: Psychrobacter pasteurii
Lineage: Bacteria; Pseudomonadati; Pseudomonadota; Gammaproteobacteria; Moraxellales; Moraxellaceae
Description: tRNA-Tyr
Rfam family: tRNA
About the family: Transfer RNA (tRNA) molecules are approximately 80 nucleotides in length. Their secondary structure includes four short double-helical elements and three loops (D, anti-codon, and T loops).
Source: RNAcentral